CAUCACUAAGACAGAUUACUUAACGAAGACGUUUAGUUACCUUAUUUUUCUUCGUCGCCGUUUCACACACUAACACUACAAC
RNAcentral lists this small RNA (82 nucleotides) under Arabidopsis thaliana (thale cress). RNAcentral describes it as "ATSL136380". Lineage: Eukaryota; Viridiplantae; Streptophyta; Magnoliopsida; Brassicales; Brassicaceae. The record is from RNAcentral.